GGAACAUCUCACGAGCUUUCCUACAUCUUCCGUGGUUCCCAGCACAGCCCAAGAUUAUUUGGCAGCCAAGUGGAUGGAACUAACUUUCCUGGACUGUGUUUCGCAUUCGGCGUUAUCUGGAAAGUGGACUGAACGGAAUCAAGCUCUGAGCAGAGGCCUGAAGCGGAAGCACCACAUCGUCCCUGCCCAUCUCACUCUCUCCCUUGAUGAUGCCCCUAGAGCUGAGGCUGG
Molecule: long non-coding RNA, 231 nt
Filed under: Homo sapiens (human)
Lineage: Eukaryota; Metazoa; Chordata; Mammalia; Primates; Hominidae
Description: non-protein coding lnc-NCBP3-2:1
Source: RNAcentral